UACGUAGGGUGCAAGCGUUAAUCGGAAUUACUGGGCGUAAAGCGUGCGUAGGCGGUUAUGUAAGUCAGAUGUGAAAUGCCCGGGCUUAACCUGGGAACUGCAUUUGUGACUGCAUGGCUAGAGUUUGGCAGAGGGGGGUAGAAUUCCACGUGUAGCAGUGAAAUGCGUAGAUAUGUGGAGGAACACCGAUGGCGAAGGCAGCCCCCUGGGUCAAGACUGACGCUCAUGCACGAAAGCGUGGGGAGCAAACAGG
This 253-nucleotide ribosomal RNA is filed under the name uncultured bacterium. Its description in RNAcentral is "partial 16S ribosomal RNA". It matches the Rfam family "Bacterial small subunit ribosomal RNA", at positions 524 to 776 of the family's 1533-position model. The record is from RNAcentral.